Heterocephalus glaber (naked mole-rat) is the source of this 9141-nucleotide long non-coding RNA. NCBI's taxonomy places the organism in Eukaryota, Metazoa, Chordata, Mammalia, Rodentia, Bathyergidae. The record is from Ensembl.
UGAAGACCCGUGGCCACUGCCGAAGGCUCUGUGGCACCUCGCGGCUGGGGAUGCCGAGGGGACAUGGCUGCCCACUCGCUCGGGAAGCCCCACCCCAGGCUCCCCGCAUUGUAACCUCCAGUGCCCAAGUGGGGUGGAUUCUGAGGACCUCUGCAGUCGACCCAGUGUCACCCUGAGACCCAACCCAGUGUCACCCCUGGAGACCCGAGACCUGCUCUCUCUGUCCUCUCCUGCGCCCUGGGACUGCGUCGUCCUGUCGCAGCCUCCCGUACGGGGGAAGCUCUGUCCAGCACGGGGGCCUGGCCUUUGCUGAGUGCCGGCCUCUGGACCACCUGGUGCCCCGGUCUCGCUUAUGCAGGUCACCUGGCUCCUUCUGCAGGGGCCCCACCAGAGUGAGUGUGGCUGGGGCUGCAGAGAGCAGAGGGCUCGCCCAGCACGGCCAUGGCUUACAACCAGCUGCAGACCAAGCCUGGGCUGGUCCCCAGUUGUUCUCUGAAAAAUAUUUGCUAAAUAAAUGAUAUUUUGAAAGGAGUCAAAGAACAUAAUCAGGAUCCUUAGGUGAGCGGUGCUGAGGCAGAGUCUAACACAGACUGUGCAGGUGUGAGUGCUCCCUGCCUACUCGAAGGGGAUGGUGUGAGCCAACAACAGAGUCAGAGGAGAGGAGCUGCCUGCUGCCUCACGCCCCCUCUGCUCAGGUGUGGGAGCAGCUGACCUCUCCCCAGCUCUGACCCUCCCUGGAAACACUCCACACAGCACACUGGUAGUGGGGACCAUGUGGGCUUCUGCGUCCAACACCCCCAAAUACAGGCAGCAUUUGUUAAUUGAACUGGGGGCCUCGGAGCCAUCACCCCCUUCCUGUGCUGUAAACAGCACCCCCCAGAGGCUGAGGUCACCUGCAGAAAAAAGCCAGAGGCUAAAGAGACGGCAGAGACUUCAGUGGGAGAGGGUGGCCCUGAGCUCUCCUGAGGACAGAGGGAGGCUGGUGGCUAUCACCCGGCUACCCGAGGAUGAUGUGUCCCCAUCCUGGAGAAGCGAGCAGGACUGCGGGAGGAGCAAGAAGCCAGGACCACAUUCCUGACCCUCUAGGCUCAGCUUCCCAGGCCCCAGAAGGCCCUUGGAGGAGAGACAGCAACCAGAGCUAGUCUAUCCCUUGGAAAGCGUGUCUCCCGCCGCUGCACAAAGCUGGGCCACCAGUCAGCCUGGGCAUGGGAAGAGGACCCGCCCUGGUCAUGCCCCUCUCAGGACUCCAAGGCCUUGUGCCGUGGUCAGCCAUUUCUGCCUGGGCCAGUCGUGGGGUGUGAGGAAUAGGGGCCCCGAUGGCAGCAAGUGGGGCUGGGAGGGGGUCAGUGUCAACCCUUCACAUAGCAUACAUGUCUAUCCCAGAACCACAGGGAACAGCAAGGAAACCCUCACUAGAGCCAGGAAGUGAUUAGAGCGGGGCUGCAGGAGGAAAGACUAAUGUACGAGUCUAUUGCUUUCCCAUAUGCCAACAAGGAACAAGUGGAACUUGAUGUUAAAAGCACAAGCCCAUUUACAUUUGCUUCCCCCACAGGAAGAUGCUUAGCUAUAUAGCAAAAGGAGUACAAGAUCUAUAUGAGGGAGACCACAAAGCAUUCAUGAAAGAAACGGAGAACUAAAUCAAUGGAGCACGCUCCAGGUCUGCAGAUGAGAAGACCGCAUUGUCAGGUGUCAGUUCUUCCCAAGCAGCUGUGCAGACCCAGGGAGUAACCCAGUCGCUGUCCAUCAGCGUUGAAGUCUGUAUGGAAAGUGGAGGAAGCAGAAGAGCCGACACAGUGCCAAGGAGAAGCGAGACAUCAGAGGGUGAUGCCGAGGCCGGCAGACUCUGCAGAGCUCCGAGCCUCAGGCAGCAGUACUGGUGGUGUUAGCAGGACAGAGUGGAGCCCAAGAAAGGACCCGUGUGAGCAGAGUCACAGAGAUCCAAUAGGAGAGAGGCAGCACCCAGGAGCAGAUGCUACCUGUUCCACAAACAGUGCUGGAAUAGCUGAUCAUCUGCAAGCAGAAGAAAGAAGAGAGAAAGGGGAAUUUCGACAAGGAUCUUACACCCCUUCACAAAAAGGAACCCAAAAUAGAUCACAGACCUAAACAUACAAGGCAAAGCUACACAACUCCUAGAAAUAACAGAAAAUCUAGACGGCCGUGGGUAUGGUGAUGUCUUUUUAGACACAACACCCAGGACAUGAUACAUGAGAAAUAAUCGAUAAGCUAGGCUUUAUUAAAAUUUUAAAAUUCUGUUCCGAGAGAGAUAAUGCCAAGAGAGCAAGAACACAAACUACAAACUAUAGAAAAUACUUGCAAAACGCACAUCUGAUGAAGAACUGUUAUCCAAAAAGUAGAAAGAACUCUUAAAACUCUACAAUAAAAAUCUUGAAAAAAUGGUCAGAGACCUUAACAGAUAUCUGACCGAAGAAGACGUGCAGAUGGUAAAUACACCUGUGUAAAGGUGUGCUGUGUCCUGGCGUCACCAGGAAACACCCACAGCUCAGAAUGCUGACCAGUGUGCACAGCAACAGCAGCUUUCAGCUGUUGUUGGGCCAGGGGAGACAGCACGGCCACUGGGGAAGGCAGUGCAGAGGUCUCACAAACUCAACAACUCCGACUUCUUACCAUGCGGUCCAGUGGGUGUCUAUGGGGUGUAGCCAAAGGAUUUGAAAAGUUGUGUCCACACAAAACCUGCGCACGAUGCCUAUAGCAGCUCUGUUCAUAACUGCCAAAACUUGAAAGCAACCGUUAGUAAGUGAGUGGACAGACAAAUGGGGUACAUCCAGGCAAGAAUAUCAUCUCAUACCAAGAAAUGAGGCAUCAAACUACGGAAAAAUGUGGAGGAAGUACAAGAAGCCCUUCUGAAAAGGGCACUGUGAUUGUCAAUUGUGACGUGUCAGCUUGACUUGGCUGAGGACCGCCUAGAAGAGUGGUGAACUCUGGGUGUGUCUGUGGGUGACUGACAGGUAGGCCACAAAUAAAAGGGGAAGACCCGCCCCAGAUGUGGGUGGCACAGACCAAUAGGCUUGUAGCCUGAACAGAAUAAAAAGGGAAAGAAGAAGGAAGCCUGCCCUUUUUCUCUGGAGAGGUUCCGCUGCUUGCCAGCUCCUUCGGCUAUUGGUUUCUGGUUCCUUCCAGCCUCCAGUGCAGACCUUUGCUUGCUGACGUGGACGCCUACCGACUCUGCAGUGAGCUCCAGCCUUCAGCCUCAGAAUGGGGCUGGGUCCUCCUGCUCCCCCGGGCAGGACUGUUGGAUUCCUGUCUCUGGUUCUACAGGCUGCCACUAGACUCUCUCAUCCUAUAAAUCCCUUCUGCAGCUUUCCAUAUUUUUUAUGUUGACUCUGUUCCUCUAACAAACCUAACUAGCACAGCCAUACACUGCACAAUUCCAUCUGCAUGGUGUUUUGGGAAAAGCAAACUAGGAAGACAGUGAGAAGAGCAUGGUUGCCAAGGCCGGGAGGGACGAACAGGUGGAACACCGGGUUUUCAGGAGUGAAACACUCCAGGGUGCUGCCGUGCAUUGUCCACACGUGGGAAUGUGCCGCAUGAGAGCUAAGCGGGGUGUGCGCUGUGGACUGUGGUGUGAUGAUGCUGUGUCCAUGCAGGCCCUCCGUGGUGACAAGCGUCCUGGUCCUGGGGUGUGUGGAAUCUCUGUACCUUCACCCAGUCUUCCCAAGAGCCUAAAACUGCUCCAAAAAUAGUCUCUACAUAGUUUUUAAAGAAAAGAAAAAGGGCUUUGGCAAUUUUCCAGGCCAAGGAAAUAGUGUUUGCAUGUUUUCAUUAUCAUAGAAAAUGGAACCCAAUACAGCAUGGACACUGCCGCUCCCCAACAGAGGAGGGACCCUGGUUUAUUACAAAGAGUUGGAGUUCUCAUUCACUCAAACAAAACGUGUGCUGGACGCCUCAGGAGGGAAAGACACAGCCCCCACUCUCGAGGAGUUGGUGGGUUUGUGUAAGUGUCGAUGGUUCUUGUCUUAGGAUGGUUUGGCCUAGGGUUUUGAGUUUACAAUGGUGGGAAGAUGACACAUAGUCAGUAGAAAUCAUGCUCUGGACUUUGAACUUGGGUCCUUUCCCAGGCUAGCGAUAUGUGGGUGCUGUUCUACUGGCAGCCUCAGUGAGUCACAGCUCUUGGCCUCCCUGGUGAUCACAAGGGAGUCCACCAGUGUUUGACUACCGGGCUGCAAUUUUUGGUUCUUUAUGGGUUUAUUGGGAUGCAGCUCCAUCCUAAGUCAGAGUCUGUCUGAGCUGUGUGUGAUUUAUAUCUCAAUGUCCCCACUAGAGCUUCAUGCCAUCAGAGACGGGGCUUUUGGAAGGUGGUUGGAUCUGGGGAGCUGUAGCUGACUUGCUAUUAGGAGGUGGGCUUGGUUGGGAGGCAGCUUACUGGGGGUGUGACCUGGAAGUGUCUGUCUCCCAGCUCCCUUCUCUGCUUCCUGGCCUCCCUGAUGUAAGCAGUUUCCUCCACCUAGACCUUUCCACCAUGCCCUUCCUGUCUUAGAGCCGCCAGCUGUGGACUAAAACCACGAGCCAAAAUAAACCUCUCCUCCUUUAAUUUGUGGGUAUCAGAUAUUGUGUCUAGGGAUGAGAAAGUGACUAAGAGAAGCUGUAACACGCAGAGUGCCUGGGCUUUCCUGGAUCACCGUCCAGAGUGCAGAGAGGCUCUGGAGGAAGCUGGAGUCCAUGCUGGCUGCAGGCGGAGCAGGAGGAGGUGGCCAGUGAGCAAGGAGGGUACAGACAGGAAAGCAGGCCUUUCUUGGGCUUAGCUGCCCACCCCAGCCCAGGCCACCCUUAUCCAACACAGUGGACAGAGGCCCCAGGCCCUGCCCACCUCGCCAAGUUCUGAAUAGAUGGAAUAUGGUGAAGCUGCAUUCUGCAGCCAGGUAGAUAGGAGGGAAUUAAUUACCUGCGGCCUGACCUCCACAUCCAAGCAGGCUCAGCGCUGACCCCUGGUGGACCGUGAUUGCUAUCCGUUCUCCAUGGACCUCUCAGGCUGCUCUGCGUUCUGCCUGGAACCCCCAGCGUGCAACUCCGGGCCUCCCUGCUGAUUUCCGAAGCUGUGUGAACAGUCUGGAAGUCAGAGCUGCAGUGGAACCUCUGAGCCUGCAGGUUGCAGGAGAACUUGUGACUGCAGGCCCUGUGUGGGCCCCAGGCUGAGCUCGUCUGAGUGGUCCACACUCUUGCCUCGUUCCUGAAUGCCAGCUGCGCAGCCGUGUGCUCUGAGAAACCCUGGCAAUGAGCCACACUCUUCCCUGGGGCUGCUGUGGCGCAGUUCAGGAGCCUGAGCUGGCUCCAGACCCUGGCGAUGCCUGGUGAGGGGACAGCCGUGUGUGGAUGCCAGUGACACGUUAUGUAUGCAGCACGUGCUGUGUGCUGCAGCUUCCACGCACGCCUGACCCUCGCAGCACCGGGUGUGAACACGAGUGUGGCCACUGCACAGCGCACAUCCCAUGCUGCCCCCACAUCUCUGGUCCCUUAGGCCUCUGGGCUUUAGGCCGCUGGGCCUGGGCUCAGUGCAGAGACUCGAGCAGUCGGUCACCCCACAGGCCAGGAACAACUUGUGUAACUCACAGUCGGUAAGAACAGCUCUGGCCACUUCCUGACCCUGCUGUGGGCCUUGGGGUCCUGUGUGGUGUGGCUGCCAGCAGAGAGCUCGAGAGCGCUUUGCAUGGAAGCUGUGUGUGUGUGUGUGACAUACCCGGUGACAUGCAUGUGGCGUCCCUGUGCACAUACACGGUGACAGGAUCGCCAAGUGAGGGUAUUCACUGCUUUCCUUGGUGCUGCCUUCCUGUGUCUGAGGUGGGAGCUGAAAUCCACCCUCGCUGUGCCUCCGGGAUGCAGCCCCCACCCCACUGGGCAGCCUCUCCAGCUCUCCUGACCCCUUCAGCUUUGCAGCUGCAGUUUGGUGCCAGUGGCCCACACCCUUCCAUCCCCCUCUCGCCCUGGGCACCUCUGCCCAAUGUUUCUGGGGCUCUUUGGGGCCACACGUGGACGGCCCUGCCUUGCGCAUACUUUCCGUGGCUCUGGCUCACCCCAGUCACGAGAUGCUGUCCCCUCUGGGUUCCCGGGGCGGCUUGCUUCUUUCUCUUCAGCCGAAAAAUGCAUGGUGUGUGUGGUCUCAUUUCCUCCAUCCGUGCUCCUAUUGGGGACACGGCUACACCCGUCCCUGGGGAAGGGCCUCCGCCCUGAGAGCAUGCCGGCUCUGUGAGCACCCAGCAGUGCAGGGCACCCGAGUCCUGCAGCCACGGGUGUCACCCCAGGUCGCCACAGGGGCUGGGCAGAAGGGAGGGCACCGAGCAGCCCCUGCCCGCCGACAACAGCUGCCCACACGGGCAGUGCUUCCCAGGUCCCUCAGCCUCACCUGGCCUCUCCCUCUCCGGCCACCUUGUGCCCCUCCCAGGACACGCCCAGGACACCGAACUCUGUUUAUGGGAAUGGGACUGGUGGGGGUCGUGUGACCCAGCUCAGAUGAUGAGGGUCAGCGAGAUCCUCAGCCAGAGCUCAGCCCAGCAAUCCGGCAAACCUGGAUCCCCCGCUCCUGGGUUUCCCCAUCUCUGGAAGAGCCUGUUGUUGGGGGUAGAGGAUGCUGUCCCUCGCCAUCAGCCUUGGUGGGCAUGCUGACCGGCUUCCACACUGGCCAGGGCUCUUGCUUGGCCCAAGGACGGGCUCAAGCACCUGCUGUGGGCUGGGUUCGCGCCCUAGUUCCGCAUGCUGCGUUCACGGUGGUCUCCACUGCGUGGGCCGGGGCCGGCACGGCUUGACAUUGCAGUGCCCUCAUCCUCUGAGGGCUGGCCGAGGCCAUGCUGCUCGGUUCCGUCCUGCUCCGGGAAAGGGAGCUCUGAUGACACAGACAAGCUCCCAACUCUGACAGAGCCACCUCCCUGGUGCCAGAUGUGGAACGCGGACCCAGCUCGCUGGGAGACUGACCGGCCUUCCUCCAAGCACCACGAAAGCCCCACAGCACCGCUGUCGGGGAAGCCGCUGGCCUUCAGAGCCCAGUGAGGGCCGGCAGAGCUCAGCGGCCUGUACAGGCCCACGGGUGUCAGUGGCCGCAGCUCCCCACUCAUCCUUGGGCCUCGGUGUGUGGGCACCGACCUAGAGGUGCCUGUCCUCGAUGACCAGAACCCAGCCAGGCACUGGGCCUCAGACUGGGCCACUCCCCCAUGACUCAGCCCCAGUAACCCAAGCCCUCAGGACCAGGCGUGGAUAGCUGCACCUGCAGAAAGGGUUUUGUCUUUUGCCCACUGCCUCCCACGGUGAGUCACGGCGACUUCAUCUGCCACCCGCGGCCUUGCGAGCACUACAACCACGGCACGGUGGUGGAGUUCUACUGCGACCCUGGCUACAGCCUCACCAGCGACUACAAGUACAUCACCUGCCAGUACGGGGAGUGGUUUCCCUCCCUACCAGGUCUACUGCCUCCAGUCCGAGCACACCUGGCCUGGCACACACGAGACCCUCCUGACCACCUGGAAGAUUGUGGCAUUCACGGCCACCAGUGUCCUGCUGGUGCUGCUGCUCGUCAUCCUGGCCAGGAUGUUCCAGACCAAGUUCAAGGCCAGCUUCCCACCCAGGGGCCCCCCCAGGAGCUCCAGCAGCGACCCCGACUUCGUGGUGGUGGACGGCGUCCCCGUCCUGCUGCCGUCCUAUGACGAGGCUGUGAGCGGAGGUGCGAGUGCCUUAGGCCCCGGGCUCCUGGCUGCUGUGGGGCAGGGCUGCCUGGUGCCCGUGGAUGACCAGAGCCCCCCCGCCUACCCGGGGAUGAGGACAUGGGCACAGGGGCCUCCUGGGAGACCUGCAGCAGCGCCUCGGGCUCCUCCGAGCUGCUCCAGAGUCUGUACCCACCUCCCCCGAGUCAGACGCGUGCCUGCCCCACCCCGAGGACCCCGACCCAGUGGCCAGCACCCUGGACGUGGCAUCCACCAGCCCAGGCAUUGACAUUGCGGACGAGAUCCCUCUGAUGGAAGAAGGCCCCUAGGGCUGGAAGCGAUGACGCCACUGCCCCUCUGGGGAGGGAUCUGGAUCCACACAGCGAGGCAGAAGGACAGAGCCGGGCCCGGGUGCUGUCUAAUUCACCAUCAGUGGGCCACAACUUCUGUGGCCGAUCGGGAACUCAGUGUGGCGGACUUGCUGCCCAGCCAGCGCUGUUAAACAAGAGUCGAGGGGUGCCAGGACCAGGGAGGGGGGCACGGAAGACCAGGCCCCUGGCCGCUGAGGAAAGCGUGAAGCGUGCCUGCUGCACAGACGCCGCAACGCUCAUCCUGCUGACUGGAGAACCCCUGAAACAUGUCACGCUCACAUGGUGUAAAUUUGCUGGUUCACAUCCGCCGCUCCUGCCCCGGGAGGGCUCGGCCUCUGGAGCACCCACAUCAUGCUGCGGGAGAGGGGCAGGGCACCCGCGCCCUCUGCUACGGACCGGGCUGUCCUCCUCCCUGAUGCCUCUGCCCCUUGCCCUGCAGGGGCAGGAAUUCUGGAGACCCCGUUUGUACCUCUGCGCUCCUGUGCUCCCUGGCCCGGUGUGGCAGGUCCCUGGCGCCUUCUGGUGGAGGAGGACAUGACCAAGGUGCUGUGUGGCUCCCCUCCGCAACAGUCAACCUGAGUCUGAGCUGCUCUGCGGUCUCUCCUGUGCCUGCUCCAAGGCCUAACUGUACUUUAUUUUCCCAAACAGAAAUUGUUUCUGUACACAUAUUCUGCCUCCAAAGAAAGUGUGAAGCUGAGUUCUUUCUCCUUCUUUGCUUGGUCCUGCAGAGGCGGCCCAAGACUGUCCCCUCCUGCUUCCGGGCCCCGCCUCUCCUGCAGGUCACCGCCUGCCCUGCCGGGAGAGGGCCCAGCACCCAAGGGAGGAUUAAAACCCGAGUCUCGAGCCUGGAGACUCCUCCAGCGCGCACUGCUCUGAGGAGCUGAUCCUUUCCUCCUCUGGGCUUUAGACGAAUACACAAAGCUCCAAUCUGCACCAUCACUGAGCUGCUCACGCAACAAGGCUGGGAGCUCGAUCGAGUCUUAUUUUUCUUGGCAUAAACAGAUUAAAAAUGAAAAAGAAAACAAUGGUGCGAAGUGCGGCUUCCACGGCGGAGCAGUCAGGCGGUGCGGGGAGAUGGUGAAGUGCGGGGUCAUAAACAGCAGGCUGGAGAGACGCCAGGCGCAGGG